Molecule: long non-coding RNA, 2055 nt
Filed under: Eucalyptus grandis
Lineage: Eukaryota; Viridiplantae; Streptophyta; Magnoliopsida; Myrtales; Myrtaceae
Description: long non-coding RNA (EGRA_LNC000654)
Source: RNAcentral
CCAGCUACCGUUCGGCCUCUGUUCAGCCACCGUGAGCGGCUGAGCAGGCCGCCGGAGCCGCCGUCCGGCCUCGCCGGAGCUCCACCCGCUCUCCCUACCUCUUACCGGCCCCAACCCUCUCUUUUUCCCUCUGUUUUGCAGCCGAUCCAGCAAACCCGCGAGUGGGUUUCAGCCGGUUCGUGGGCCAUUUCGGGCCGUUUCCGGGCCCCGAAACCGAGCCAUGCUUUGGGAAGUUUCGUUCCUCGCGUCGCCGCCGUCGGAUUGAUCCGAUUAGCGCGCGAUUUGGUGAGUAAUCUCACUAAUCCUUGCUUAGUGGACUAAUUACGCUUAUUGAUUGUUUAGUUGUAAUUAAUUUGGUUGAUGUGUUAGAUUAGUAUAAAUUAGUAUUUAUUAGUCAAUCGUGAUACAAAUUAGAUAAAUUAAAUGUGUAUUUAGCAAGUAGACAUGGUCUACUAUUGAUUGGAAGUGCCUCGGGAUUUUUCCCGACCCUUAGUGGGCCCCAAUUAGGCUUUUCGGGCCUAAGUGGAUUUUUUUGUAUUUAAAUAUUAAUUUUCGGAAUUAAAUUAAAUAAUUAUUUAUUUUCCGAAAAUUCAGCUGAGAUGGUCCGGGACCGGAAUAUUGUGCUGGUGAUUGUGGUGAAGUCCGUUUACUUAAUCGGGCUUUAAUUUGAGCUAAAUGGCAUUUUAAUAUUAAUUAUUUAAUAUUCGAAAUUAAUUAAAUAAUUAUUUAUUUUCCAAAAAUUCAGUUGAGAUGGUCUGGAACCGGAAUAUUGUGCUGAUGACCGUGGUGAAGUCCGUUUAUUUAAUCGGGCUUUAGUUUGAGCUGAAGCGAAUUUUUUAUGUUAAUUAUUUAAUUUUCGAAAUUAAUUAAUUAAUUAUUUAUUGUCCGAAAAUUCAAUUGAGAUGGCUAGUGACCAGAAUAUUAUGCUGAUAAUUGUGGUGAAGUCCGUUUAUUUAAUCGGACUUUAAUUUGAAUUAAAUUGAAUUUUUAAUAUUUAUUAAUUAAUUAUUUAUUUUUCGGAAAUUAAGAUUGAGAUGAUUGAUGACUGAAAUCUCGUGCUGAUUGUCCUGGCGCAGCCCGUUUAUUUAAUUGAACUCUACGUUGCUUGGAAUUAAGUAAAUUGUGAUAUUUUAGGGAUUUACCCUAAAUUGAUUGAAAUUGAAUUAUCAAUUGGUAGUCGGCUGAGUAUGGUUAUUUAGCAUUUUGAAUGCCUUGUUGAGCCGUAAGUGGAGGAAGUGGUGAGAACUAACUGAGCAUGCUAUUGGCUGAGAUCGAUCAAGUACGAAGUAUAGACAGGCGUGGUUCGGUGAUUAAGGAUAUCACUGUGCGAAAACGACGCCUUAAAGAACGCACGUAGACUGUCUAUGAUCUAUGACGGGCGUGGUUCGGUGAUGAGGAAUAUCACUGUGCGAAAACGGCGCCUUAAAGAACGCACGUAGACCGUCUGUUACUUAUGUCACCCUGGCGAAAAUGACGCCCGAGAGCAUUGAUGGAGCUCUGUGACUAAGUGUACUAUUGGAGGUUAUGUGGGAUGGAGUGAAUGAAGUAGAAAUGAUUCGAUUGACUUGUAAUCGUCUAGUUCGAUUGAUCAAUGAUUGAGCCGAUUGUUGUGGUUUGAUUGAUUGUUCGUUGUGAUUUAUGAAGUGUCUAUAUAUAACCUUGAAUUGCAGGUUGAGACUGAGGCCAAGGUAAGUUCUCUGGCUCAUGCUGUGCUUAGGCAAUCGAGUAGUGUAUUGGUUCCCUAAUUGAGUCUUAGUGGGGUAGAACUCGCUGAGACGUAGUCUCAUCCCAGUUUGGGGAAAACAUUUCAGGACCCCGUUGAGGAGCUGAGGAGGAAGAGUCUGUGAAGAAGAAGUAUUUUUGGAAGAAGAUAAUCCCGAGGGAGAUCUUGAGUACGACCCAGGUGGACUGAAAUGUCAUCUUCUUUUGUGCCCCCAUUUUGAAGUGAAUAGAGUAAAGUAAAGAGUUGUGAAGAGUGUGGAGUACUUUGGUUUAUGUCAUGUAUAAAGGUUUGGUUGUAAAUUUCAAUAUGAAAAAUAUGGCCCUGCUUUUCUA